AUUGAACGCUGGCGGCAGGCCUAACACAUGCAAGUCGAACGAGUGGCGGACGGGUGAGUAAUGUCUGGGAAAAUGCCUGAUGGAGGGGUAUAACUACUGGAAACGGUAGAUAAUACCGCAUACCAUUGGAUGUGCCCAGAUGGGAUUGGCUAGUUGGGUGGGUAAAGGCUCACCUAGGCGACGAUCCCUAGCUGUUCUGAGAGGAUGACCCGCCACACUGGAACUGAGACACGGUCCAGACUCCUACGGGAGGCAGCAGUGGGGAAUAUUGCACAAUGGGCGCAAGCCUGAUGCAGCCAUGCCGCGUGUAUGAAGAAGGCCUUCGGGUUGUAAAGUACUUUCAGCGGGGAGGCGUUACCCGCAGAAGAAGCACCGGCUAACUCCGUGCCAGCAGCCGCGGUAAUUC
RNAcentral lists this ribosomal RNA (406 nucleotides) under uncultured bacterium. Its description in RNAcentral is "partial 16S ribosomal RNA". It matches the Rfam family "Bacterial small subunit ribosomal RNA", at positions 30 to 526 of the family's 1533-position model. The record is from RNAcentral.